This is a long non-coding RNA of Ostrinia furnacalis (Asian corn borer), 673 nucleotides long. RefSeq lists it as uncharacterized. The record is from RefSeq and is a predicted model, not a curated record. The transcript is spliced from 2 exons. Lineage: Eukaryota; Metazoa; Arthropoda; Insecta; Lepidoptera; Crambidae.
UCUCAUCUUGUUCUACAGCGCCUGCACCUGUCCUACCAUCUACCAGUGUUGGAACUCUUCGAAGUGUAUUAAUGAUUAUUAUUUUAGUAACCAUAAAAGUUUAAAACAAUACAUUUUAUUGCAUAAUUAUUUGUUAGAAAAAACGACAAGUACAAAUGAGUAAGGAGGCUGUUGAUUUUUCAUGGUUAUUUUAUAUCUUGUUGAUUGUUCCAAAAAAAAAACUAAGUUUUCAAGAAUGCUGUGAUUAAAGUACCUAUAGUAUUAUAUUUAAAAUAAAAACUUAGUUUGUAAAUAGACGAAGGCUGACCACAAAAGAAGUACUUAUAGCUGUCUGUGUCUGUGUAAAGAAUUUAAAUAAAAAGAUGUGUAUAUUUAAACAGUUUUCUUUAUUUUAUUAGUCAUUUAUUCCUGUAAAAAGCCCACACAGGGCACUUUUACAUGUCCCAACAUAACUUUACCCUGCCAAUUUGGCAGUAUUGUGGGUUAAGGCUGAUUAAAACGUGUUAAGUAGAUAAGUAGGUACCUACCUAACUACUUUAUUGACUUAAUUUUAAGUAAUUAAUUGCGUAGUAGUAUAGUACAAAACUUAUUGUUGAUGAAAAAGAACUCUUGUGUCUCACUAAAACUUAUUUCCAUUAACACCAAGCACUCACCGCUUACCACACUUUAUCUU